GUAACAAUGAUGUCCAACAGCCAAAAUAUAAUCCGCCAAUAUGCUUUGUCUGUUGAGUUCCUAACAAACUGCCAAAAUACAUUCUCUCCAAUGUUUCGUCACACUUUCCAGUCUGGAUCUGCCACUACCGUAUCAAGAAAUUAGCUAUAAGCCAAUAAAAGUGGGCGUGUUUCAUAGUAUCGCGAAGUUUAACCCCCAAUUUCUAGAGAUCACGCUACGCCUCUGAAAGCGGAGCUAGAAAGGCAUGCGCAUUUGCCGUUUGCAUGUAUACGCUGCAUGUAUAUGUAGGGUGCAUUUCUUUUAUCUAAUCCAGAUUAGGCAAAUUACUAAUCCGGGUAAUAAUAUUAUAAUCUGUGUAGUCUACCUACGCUCGGCCGGCGCCGACUGGAUUGUAAUUAGCAGAAAGAGUCGCUCGUUCUCAAAGCAAAGAAUUGCGAUGCAAAAGCGAUGAAUAGACAUGACGCACGCAGCUAGAAACUUUGUGUGGUACAUUAUGUUGGUCGACCUUCUAGUCCUAGAUAAGUAGGAGCAUACUUCUGAUAUAUUAGCUAAGAUGGGCGUGACAGUGCCGACGUCAUUGUCCCGUGUAUACAGCCCGGUUCGCUUUGGAUAUCUUGUCGUCUACUAACGGCGUAAACUAGCACGAAAGUGCAAUCGUCUCGUUUCGAAAUACCCAUUCUGCUUACAGCAAUACAGGGAAUCAAGUGAGGACUCACUAGGACCCUGAGAAAAGGAUCAAUCUUUUUGUGUUCUUGAUACGUGCUGCUGAAGACAAAUGUUGCACUGUUGCCAAACUUCCGCAGUUUAAAGUCGACAAAGGAGUGCAGUAUGGAAUAAACGUGUGUGAUGAUGAAGUCAUAACGUAUCAUAGAAGAAAGAAGAAAGCAGUACUCGAUGGAUUGCAGAUAAUCUAACUAAAAUGCAACAGAAUAAAAAGAACUUGGGAGCAAUACGUAGGAGGUGAGACAGAAAAAAGGAGCUUGAUACCUAUGCAGUGGUAAAGUGAGCUAUAUUAUGAGGGGGAAGGAGAUGACUCCUAAUCUGAACGAUCAUACUGGAAUAAGCACAAAACGUCUGCAUGAGGUGUAAACAGACGUUGUGUAGCAUUCUACUACAUACAAGUUACAUGUACUUGACCUGACUUACAUGUGCACUGUACUGACUGUAUGCAUUACCCUAGGCAAGAUGUUGACAACCAUACAAAACGUUAUAAGUUAACUUAUCGAACCUUUUGUCUAUCUGUAUAUAUGUUCUGUUCUCUCUAAUAAUGAUUCAGUUGACGCAGACUAUAAAAACGUGCAGUUCCAAAUACUUGGAAGGGAUAUCAGGGAACAUGUCAAUUCACAUGAAUUUCAUCUCCGCUGUGAAAUCUAUGUUCAACAGGAGGAUUAAACGUUGCCCGUGCUUUUUCCAUGAACGACAGAUGAUGGAACACUCAAACGAGUUAUUUAGGUGUUACAUUUUAGUAGACCUUACAUGCUUUGUGAGCGUUAUGUUUCUCUUUAGUGUAGUGCUGAACUGUACUUUCCACUUUCAAUUUUCAGUUGCUAUAGCAACUGUGCAAAUACACUUUGCUUUUUGCUAUGCAUAUGUAGUAGUAUACCCAAUUGAUGCCGGAUCCUGUGAUGUUUGAAAUAAAUUUUAGUA
This is a long non-coding RNA of Corticium candelabrum, 1647 nucleotides long. RefSeq lists it as uncharacterized. The transcript is spliced from 3 exons. NCBI's taxonomy places the organism in Eukaryota, Metazoa, Porifera, Homoscleromorpha, Homosclerophorida, Plakinidae. The record is from RefSeq and is a predicted model, not a curated record.